GUUCCUGUAGCACAAUGGAUAGCGUUUUGGAUUUCUAAUCCAAAGGUAGUGGGCUCGAGUCCUACCAGGGAUA
Molecule: non-coding RNA, 73 nt
Organism: Trichonephila inaurata madagascariensis
Lineage: Eukaryota; Metazoa; Arthropoda; Arachnida; Araneae; Nephilidae
Source: the annotation of a GenBank genome assembly